Molecule: ribosomal RNA, 629 nt
Filed under: uncultured fungus
Lineage: Eukaryota; Fungi
Description: eukaryotic LSU rRNA
Rfam family: 5.8S ribosomal RNA (bases 207-360)
Source: RNAcentral
GGAAGGAUCAUUAUCGUACAACCGAGGAGCAGGGGCUGUCGCUGACCUUUUGAAKGUCGUGCACGCCCGGGCGCUCUCACCACAMUCCAUCUCACCCCUUUUGUGCAUCACCGCGUGGGUCCCCCUUUGCGGGGACGGCUCGCGUUUUCACAUAAAACUCGAUACAGUCUACAAUGUUCAUUUUUGCGGUAACACGCAAUCAAUACAACUUUCAACAACGGAUCUCUUGGCUCUCGCAUCGAUGAAGAACGCAGCGAAAUGCGAUACGUAAUGUGAAUUGCAGAAUUCAGUGAAUCAUCGAAUCUUUGAACGCACCUUGCGCCCCUUGGCAUUCCGAGGGGCACACCCGUUUGAGUGUCGUGAAAUUCUCAAAAUCCUUUUCUUUGAUCGGAAUGGGACUUUUGGACUUGGAGGUUCAAUGCUCGCUUUCACCUUUGAAAGCGAGCUCCUCUCAAAUGAAUCAGUGGGGUCCGCUUUGCUGGUCCUUGACGUGAUAAGAUGUUUCUACGUUUUGGAUCUGGCAUCGUAUUCUCUGCUCCUAACCCGUCUCAUGCACAACGAUGGUGCUUCGGUCGCCGCCAUCUACGGCGGGAGGCUGGACCCACAAAGAACCUUGACCUCAAAUCGGG